CAGAUUGCAGUCUGCAACUCGACUGCAUGAAGUCGGAAUCGCUAGUAAUCGCGGAUCAGCAUGCCGCGGUGAAUACGUUCCCGGGCCUUGUACACACCGCCCGUCACACCAUGAGAGUCGGGAACACCCGAAGUCCGUAGCCUAACCGCAAGGGGGCGCGGCCGAGGGUGGGUUCGAUAAUUGGGGUGAAGUCGUAACAAGGUACC
RNAcentral lists this ribosomal RNA (206 nucleotides) under uncultured bacterium. RNAcentral describes it as "partial 16S ribosomal RNA". It matches the Rfam family "Bacterial small subunit ribosomal RNA", at positions 1294 to 1500 of the family's 1533-position model. The record is from RNAcentral.